RNAcentral lists this ribosomal RNA (497 nucleotides) under uncultured bacterium. RNAcentral describes it as "partial 16S ribosomal RNA". It matches the Rfam family "Bacterial small subunit ribosomal RNA", at positions 28 to 507 of the family's 1533-position model. The record is from RNAcentral.
GAUGAACGCUGGCGGCGUGCCUAAUACAUGCAAGUCGAGCGAACGGACGAGAAGCUUGCUUCUCUGAUGUUAGCGGCGGACGGGUGAGUAACACGUGGAUAACCUACCUAUAAGACUGGGAUAACUUCGGGAAACCGGAGCUAAUACCGGAUAAUAUUUUGAACCGCAUGGUUCAAAAGUGAAAGACGGUCUUGCUGUCACUUAUAGAUGGAUCCGCGCUGCAUUAGCUAGUUGGUAAGGUAACGGCUUACCAAGGAAACGAUGCAUAGCCGACCUGAGAGGGUGAUCGGCCACCCUGGAACUGAGACACGGUCCAGACUCCUACGGGAGGCAGCAGUAGGGAAUCUUCCGCAAUGGGCGAAAGCCUGACGGAGCAACGCCGCGUGAGUGAUGAAGGUCUUCGGAUCGUAAAACUCUGUUAUUAGGGAAGAACAUAUGUGUAAGUAACUGUGCACAUCUUGACGGUACCUAAUCAGAAAGCCACGGCUAACUACGUG